UGGCUGUCGUCAGCUCGUGUUUGUGAAAUGUUGGGUUAAGUCCCGCAACGAGCGCAACCCUUAUCCUUUGUUGCCAGCGGUCCGGCCGGGAACUCAAAGGAGACUGCCAGUGAUAAACUGGAGGAAGGUGGGGAUGACGUCAAGUCAUCAUGGCCCUUACGACCAGGGCUACACACGUGCUACAAUGGCGCAUACAAAGAGAAGCGACCUCGCGAGAGCAAGCGGACCUCAUAAAGUGCGUCGUAGUCCGGAUUGGAGUCUGCAACUCGACUCCAUGAAGUCGGAAUCGCUAGUAAUCGUGGAUCAGAAUGCCACGGUGAAUACGUUCCCGGGCCUUGUACACACCGCCCGUCACACCAUGGGAGUGGGUUGCAAAAGAAGUAGGUAGCUUAACCUUCGGGAGGGCGCUUACCACUUUGUGAUUCAUGACUGGGGUGAAGUCGUAACAAGGUAACCGUAGGGGAACCUGCGGUUGGAUCACCUCCUUACCUUAAAGAA
This 498-nucleotide ribosomal RNA is filed under the name Escherichia coli. Its description in RNAcentral is "bacterial SSU rRNA". It matches the Rfam family "Bacterial small subunit ribosomal RNA", at positions 1046 to 1533 of the family's 1533-position model. Lineage: Bacteria; Pseudomonadati; Pseudomonadota; Gammaproteobacteria; Enterobacterales; Enterobacteriaceae. The record is from RNAcentral.